AUCCUCUCAGGAUCGCACCUGGAGAGUUUCCAGUUCCCUAACAGUCUCGGCUGUGGGAGGGAGAGUCAAGCAGAGGCCUACCCAUUCCAUUCCUAGCUUGGCCAGUGGCUAGCGAGUGGAAGGCGACCUGCUACAAGU
Molecule: non-coding RNA, 138 nt
Organism: Ornithorhynchus anatinus (platypus)
Lineage: Eukaryota; Metazoa; Chordata; Mammalia; Monotremata; Ornithorhynchidae
Source: Rfam